RNAcentral lists this microRNA precursor (95 nucleotides) under Nicotiana sylvestris (wood tobacco). RNAcentral's name for it is "MIR6152 microRNA precursor family". It matches the Rfam family "MIR6152 microRNA precursor family". RNAcentral also lists the same sequence under 1 other name. Lineage: Eukaryota; Viridiplantae; Streptophyta; Magnoliopsida; Solanales; Solanaceae. The record is from Rfam by way of RNAcentral.
UGGACAGAUUACUGUAUUCGACUGUAUUCACGACGUGAAACAGGGGAUUACACUGUUUUAAAAUGGAAAGUGUAUCAUUAACAUAAUAGACUACU